GGGAAUCUCGUCGCCUAUUGGCUGAUCGGCGCGUGCUGCCUUUUUCGGCUGAUCAUUCUUGCCUUGCCAACCCCCGCAGGCGGAUGUGCAAAGCGAUAUAACGUUGAGCUCGCAGGAUAUACACUAAUAUGACGGUCGCGCGCCAGCCAGCGGGGGCUGGGGGGCACGCUGGGACUGCCGCAAGUACGCCGUCGUGUCCGUGCCCUUUCCUCUGGGUACGGCGCGAUGGGCUGAACCCCCACUUUGCCCUUAACGUGCCCCCCCACCCCCUCCACCUCCACCUCCAGCAUCGCCACCACCACCACCACCGGAACUGCAGGGCUGGAGACACUCAGCUGACAUGCCUAGAGACGGCGCACCUCUGACUCACCGCCGGGGCUGCUUCGUGGGACCUGUGCGGGUGUUGUGCAGCCGCCAGAAAGUAACCUAGUCAGGUGGUCGCCGGAAGAAGGGCAAAGCUAAAGGAGGCGAAAAGAGGAGGAAGAAGAGGAGAGGAAGAGGAGAGGAAGAAGAGGAAGAAGAGGAGGAAGGAAGGUGUUCAGCAAAUGGCCGUCUGACAGAUCCUUCAUAUUUUCGUGUUUUUCGUCUGUUUUGGUGAGUUGUCUGUGGCUGUGAGGCUGUGAGAGAGAGAGAGAGGGAGGCCGAGAAAAAGAGAGAGAGAGGGGGAUGGUGUGAGAGAGAGA
Molecule: long non-coding RNA, 683 nt
Organism: Eriocheir sinensis (Chinese mitten crab)
Lineage: Eukaryota; Metazoa; Arthropoda; Malacostraca; Decapoda; Varunidae
Exons: 4
Source: RefSeq, a predicted model, not a curated record